Molecule: ribosomal RNA, 477 nt
Filed under: Eikenella corrodens
Lineage: Bacteria; Pseudomonadati; Pseudomonadota; Betaproteobacteria; Neisseriales; Neisseriaceae
Description: bacterial SSU rRNA
Rfam family: Bacterial small subunit ribosomal RNA
Source: RNAcentral
AUUGAACGCUGGCGGCAUGCUCUACACAUGCAAGUCGAACGGCACGGGGUAGUGCUUGCACUACUGCCGGCGAGUGCGAACGGGUGAGUAAUAUAUCGACGUACCGAGUAAUGGGGGAUACCAAUCGAAAGAUUGGCUAAUACCGCAUACGUCCUAAGGGAGAAAGCGGGGGAUCGCAAGACCUCGCGUUAUUCGAGCGGCCGAUAACUGAUUAGCUAGUUGGUGGGGUAAAGGCCUACCAAGGCGACGAUCAGUAGCGGGUCUGAGAGGACGAUCCGCCACACUGGGACUGAGACACGGCCCAGACUCCUACGGGAGGCAGCAGUGGGGAAUUUUGGACAAUGGGGGCAACCCUGAUCCAGCCAUGCCGCGUGUAUGAAGAAGGCCUUCGGGUUGUAAAGUACUUUUGUUAGGGAGGAAAAGGGAAGUGCUAAUACCACUUUUUGCUGACGGUACCUAAAGAAUAAGCACCGGCUA